GUCCUCGUAGUUCAGUGGAAGAACAGCCCCCUCCUAAGGGGCAGACACAGGUUCAAUUCCUGUCGAGGAUACCA
This 74-nucleotide transfer RNA is filed under the name Candidatus Peribacteria bacterium. RNAcentral describes it as "tRNA-Arg". It matches the Rfam family "tRNA". From Rfam's summary of the family: Transfer RNA (tRNA) molecules are approximately 80 nucleotides in length. Their secondary structure includes four short double-helical elements and three loops (D, anti-codon, and T loops). Further hydrogen bonds mediate the characteristic L-shaped molecular structure. tRNAs have two regions of fundamental functional importance: the anti-codon, which is responsible for specific mRNA codon recognition, and the 3' end, to which the tRNAs corresponding amino acid is attached (by aminoacyl-tRNA synthetases). tRNAs cope with the degeneracy of the genetic code in two manners: having more than one tRNA (with a specific anti-codon) for a particular amino acid; and 'wobble' base-pairing, i.e. permitting non-standard base-pairing at the 3rd anti-codon position. The record is from RNAcentral. Lineage: Bacteria; Candidatus Peregrinibacteriota; Candidatus Peribacteria.